Molecule: non-coding RNA, 107 nt
Organism: Helianthus annuus (common sunflower)
Lineage: Eukaryota; Viridiplantae; Streptophyta; Magnoliopsida; Asterales; Asteraceae
Source: Rfam
AGGCCGUGAUGGGGACACUUGCGUAAUAGCUCCUUGAACCUUUCUCAUGUUUCAUAUAAGGAUUCCCCGUCCUCUUGUGAGUAUGUAUUAAUUUCAGCCAUAAAUUU